AGGCAUCUUCUUAUUUUUAAAAGACCUAGCAAUAGGUAUGCUUAGGGAAGAGCUUGCGUCACAUUAGUUAGUUGGUGGGGUAAUGGCCUACCAAGACGAUGAUGUGUAGCCGGGCUGAGAGGUCGAACGGCCACAUUGGGACUGAGACACGGCCCAAACUCCUACGGGAGGCAGCAGUAAGGAAUUUUCGGCAAUGGAGGAAACUCUGACCGAGCAAUGCCGCGUGAACGAUGAAGUAUUUCGGUACGUAAAGUUCUUUUAUUAGGGAAGAAAAGAUGGUGGAAAAACCAUUAUGACGGUACCUAAUGAAUAANCCCCGGCUAACUAUGUGCCAGCAGCCGCGGNAAUACAUAGGGGGCAAGCGUUAUCCGGAAUUAUUGGGCGUAAAGGGUGCGUAGGCGGUUAAAUAAGUUUAUGGUCUAAGUGCAACGCUCAACGUUGUGAUGCUAUAAAAACUGUUUAGCUAGAGUUGGAUAGAGGCAAGUGGAAUUCCGUGUGUAGUGGUAAAAUGCGUAAAUAUACGGAGGAACACCAGAAGCGAAGGCGGCUUGCUGGGUCUUAACUGACGCUGAGGCACGAAAGCGUGGGGAGCAAACAGGAUUAGAUACCCUGGUAGUCCACGCCCUAAACGAUGAGUACUAAACGUUGGAUAAAACCAGUGUUGAAGUUAACACAUUAAGUACUCCGCCUGAGUAGUACGUACGCAAGUAUNAAACUUAAAGGAAUUGACGGGACUCCGCACAAGCGGUGGAUCAUGUUGUUUAAUUCGAAGGUACCCGAAAAACCUCACCAGGUCUUGACAUGCUUUUGCAAAGCUGUAGAAAUACAGUGGAGGUUAUCAGAAGCACAGGUGGUGCAUGGUUGUCGUCAGCUCGUGUCGUGAGAUGUUGGGUUAAGUCCCGCAACGAGCGCAACCCUUGUUGUUAAUUGCCAUCAUUAAGUUGGGGACUUUAGCAAGACUGCCAAUGAUAAAUUGGAGGAAGGUGGGGACGACGUCAAAUCAUCAUGCCCCUUAUGACCUGGGCUACAAACGUGAUACAAUGGCUGUUACAAAGGGUAGCUAAAGCGUAAGCUUCUGGCGAAUCUCAAAAAAGCAGUCUCAGUUCGGAUUGAAGUCUGCAACUCGACUUCAUGAAGUUGGAAUCGCUAGUAA
Molecule: ribosomal RNA, 1153 nt
Filed under: Candidatus Phytoplasma solani
Lineage: Bacteria; Bacillati; Mycoplasmatota; Mollicutes; Acholeplasmatales; Acholeplasmataceae
Description: bacterial SSU rRNA
Rfam family: Bacterial small subunit ribosomal RNA
Source: RNAcentral